UAUUUAUCUAUGAUUUAGUUAGGACUUAAGAUUUAAUCUAGGCUUUUGUUAGGAUUAGGAUUUGAUUUAAAACUUGACUAGGAUUUUAUUAGGAUUUAUCUAGAAUUUUAUUAGGAUUUGAUCUAAGAUUUGAUCUAAGAUUUGGUUAAGAUUUAAAUAAUAUUUUAAUUAAGAUUAAAUUAUAAUUUCUAUUUUUAUAAUUUAAAAAUAAUUCUUUAUUAU
Molecule: long non-coding RNA, 222 nt
Filed under: Physcomitrium patens
Lineage: Eukaryota; Viridiplantae; Streptophyta; Bryopsida; Funariales; Funariaceae
Description: long non-coding RNA (PPAT_LNC005166)
Source: RNAcentral